GCUGGGCAUGGUGACACAUGCCUGUAAUCCCAGCUACUCAGGAGGCUGAGGCAGGAGAAUCACUUGAACCCAGGAGGCAGAGGUUGCAGUGAACUGAGAUCAAGCCACUGCACUCUGGCCUGGGUGACAAAGUGAGACUCUUUCUUUA
Pongo abelii (Sumatran orangutan) is the source of this 148-nucleotide unclassified non-coding RNA. It matches the Rfam family "Metazoan signal recognition particle RNA". From Rfam's summary of the family: The signal recognition particle (SRP) is a universally conserved ribonucleoprotein. It is involved in the co-translational targeting of proteins to membranes. The eukaryotic SRP consists of a 300-nucleotide 7S RNA and six proteins: SRPs 72, 68, 54, 19, 14, and 9. Lineage: Eukaryota; Metazoa; Chordata; Mammalia; Primates; Hominidae. The record is from Ensembl.